UGGGGAAUAUUGCACAAUGGGCGCAAGCCUGAUGCAGCCAUGCCGCGUGUGUGAAGAAGGCCUUCGGGUUGUAAAGCACUUUCAGCGGGGAGGAAGGCGGUGAGGUUAAUAACCUCAUCGAUUGACGUUACCCGCAGAAGAAGCACCGGCUAACUCCGUGCCAGCAGCCGCGGUAAUACGGAGGGUGCUAGCGUUAAUCGGAAUUACUGGGCGUAAAGCGCACGCAGGCGGUCUGUCAAGUCGGAUGUGAAAUCCCCGGGCUCAACCUGGGAACUGCAUUCGAAACUGGCAGGCUAGAGUCUUGUAGAGGGGGGUAGAAUUCCAGGUGUAGCGGUGAAAUGCGUAGAGAUCUGGAGGAAUACCGGUGGCGAAGGCGGCCCCCUGGACAAAGACUGACGCUCAGGUGCGAAAGCGUGGGGAGCAAACAGG
Molecule: ribosomal RNA, 429 nt
Filed under: Chloroflexota bacterium
Lineage: Bacteria; Bacillati; Chloroflexota
Description: Chloroflexi bacterium partial 16S ribosomal RNA
Rfam family: Bacterial small subunit ribosomal RNA
Source: RNAcentral